GAUGAACGCUGGCGGCGUGCUUAACACAUGCAAGUCGAACGAGGAAUUUUAAAUGAGACUUCGGUGGAUUUUGAAAUUCUUAGUGGCGGACGGGUGAGUAACGCGUGGGCAACCUGCCCUGUACAGGGGGACAACAGCUGGAAACGGCUGCUAAUACCGCAUAAGCGCACAGCAUCGCAUGAUGCCGUGUGAAAAACUCCGGUGGUACAGGAUGGACCCGCGUUGGAUUAGGUAGUUGGUGAGGUAACGGCCCACCAAGCCGACGAUCCAUAGCCGACCUGAGAGGGUGACCGGCCACAUUGGGACUGAGACACGGCCCAAACUCCUACGGGAGGCAGCAGUGGGGAAUAUUGCACAAUGGGGGAAACCCUGAUGCAGCGACGCCGCGUGAGCGAAGAAGUAUUUCGGUAUGUAAAGCUCUAUCAGCAGGGAAGAAAAUGACGGUAC
RNAcentral lists this ribosomal RNA (447 nucleotides) under uncultured bacterium. Its description in RNAcentral is "bacterial SSU rRNA". It matches the Rfam family "Bacterial small subunit ribosomal RNA", at positions 28 to 478 of the family's 1533-position model. The record is from RNAcentral.